UGGGGGAGGCCGGAUCCUGGGCUGUGUCCCGGCGCCCAGUGCUCCGGGGCCUGGGCUGUGGAUUCGCGCUCUCGCCUCGCAGCCCCCU
RNAcentral lists this microRNA precursor (88 nucleotides) under Canis lupus familiaris (dog). RNAcentral's name for it is "mir-8799 microRNA precursor family". It matches the Rfam family "mir-8799 microRNA precursor family". Lineage: Eukaryota; Metazoa; Chordata; Mammalia; Carnivora; Canidae. The record is from Rfam by way of RNAcentral.